AAGUUCGGUUGUGAUAACCGCUGAAUGCAUAUAAGCGGGAAGCACUCCCCGAGAUGAGAUCUCCCAACCCGUAAGGGAUAAGAAGGGCCCAGGAAGACUACCUGGUUGAUAGGCAGGGAGUGGAAGCGCAGUGAUGCGCGUAGCUAACCUGUACUAAUCGCCCGUUCGGCUUGACCAUAAAA
Molecule: ribosomal RNA, 182 nt
Filed under: Acidobacteriota bacterium
Lineage: Bacteria; Pseudomonadati; Acidobacteriota
Description: Acidobacteria bacterium partial 23S ribosomal RNA
Rfam family: Bacterial large subunit ribosomal RNA
Source: RNAcentral